AACGAACGCUGGCGGCGUGCUUAACACAUGCAAGUCGAACGGAAAGGCCCUUCGGGGUGCUCGAGUGGCGAACGGGUGAGUAACACGUGGGUGAUCUGCCCUGCACUUUGGGAUAAGCCUGGGAAACUGGGUCUAAUACCGAAUAGGACUCCGGACUGCAUGGUCUGGGGUGGAAAGCUUUUGCGGUGUGGGAUGGGCCCGCGGCCUAUCAGCUUGUUGGUGGGGUGAUGGCCUACCAAGGCGACGACGGGUAGCCGGCCUGAGAGGGUGACCGUCCAAACUGGGACUGAGAUACGGCCCAGCCUCCUACGGGAGGCAGCAGUGGGGAAUAUUGCACAAUGGGCGCAAGCCUGAUGCAGCGACGCCGCGUGAGGGAUGACGGCCUUCGGGUUGUAAACCUCUUUCGGUAGGGACGAAGCGCAAGUGACGGUACCUACAGAAGAAGGACCGGCCAACUACGUGCCAGCAGCCGCAGUAA
This 478-nucleotide ribosomal RNA is filed under the name uncultured bacterium. RNAcentral's name for it is "partial 16S ribosomal RNA". It matches the Rfam family "Bacterial small subunit ribosomal RNA", at positions 28 to 523 of the family's 1533-position model. The record is from RNAcentral.